Molecule: small nucleolar RNA, 65 nt
Filed under: Euglena gracilis
Lineage: Eukaryota; Euglenozoa; Euglenophyceae; Euglenales; Euglenaceae
Description: Eg-m132 box C/D methylation-guide
Source: RNAcentral
CAGAUGAUGAUAACAUUUGAGCACUGGGUUCUGAUGUUUUGAUGUUGAAUUGAUUGAACACUGAU